UACGUAGGGUGCAAGCGUUAAUCGGAAUUACUGGGCGUAAAGCGUGCGCAGGCGGUUUUGUAAGUCAGAUGUGAAAUCCCCGGGCUUAACCUGGGAACUGCGUUUGAAACUACAAGGCUAGAGUGUAGCAGAGGGGGGUGGAAUUCCACGUGUAGCAGUGAAAUGCGUAGAGAUGUGGAGGAACACCGAUGGCGAAGGCAGCCCCCUGGGUUAACACUGACGCUCAGGCACGAAAGCGUGGGGAGCAAACAGG
RNAcentral lists this ribosomal RNA (253 nucleotides) under uncultured bacterium. RNAcentral's name for it is "partial 16S ribosomal RNA". It matches the Rfam family "Bacterial small subunit ribosomal RNA", at positions 524 to 776 of the family's 1533-position model. The record is from RNAcentral.